This 754-nucleotide long non-coding RNA is filed under the name Sus scrofa (pig). RNAcentral's name for it is "lncRNA (ENSSSCG00070004695.1)". Lineage: Eukaryota; Metazoa; Chordata; Mammalia; Artiodactyla; Suidae. The record is from RNAcentral.
AAGGCCAGUUUGGGGGAAACGUGAAGUGAAAAAGACAAGAGAAAGACACAGGAACUUCCCCUACUAUUUACCACCUUACAAUGCAAGCCUUCUCUCUUCAUUCUCUGCUUUCAGUACUGAGCUCCGAGUCCUGCUAGACUAAUAUUUAGACACAUUUUGCUUUGAUAAUUAGGAUGAAGGGAAUAGGACAACUUCAUAUUUGGGGCUCCUGGAAGAUCAGAUGUGAAUACAGAUAUUAGAUCUGGAUCCGUGUGUACCGUGGGUCCCAUGGAGCAACCUCCAUAGUCAUUUCUCAGGCUCCUAAAUCAGGAGCUUCAAAGGUAACUCCUGGGGUGAUUUUUAGUGACUUUCCAUCAGUGUGGGUGUAAUUGCAUUGUCAAUUUUCCACUGGCUUCUUUGUAUAGUCUUCUGGUUUCCGGGUAUCCACUGGACUUGAGCUGACCCUAGACUGAUCUCAUGGCAUCUUUGGGGGACCUGAAUCAACAGCUUCCAGCUCAGAACAGGAAUCUGAAACAUAGCACCUACCUCUGAAGACACUAAACAAAAUGCACAAAAUGUCUAUUUGGACCAGAAGGAGCAUUUGAGACUGUCAGUGGCUGUCUUCAAGGGUUCAGAGAACUGAUGUGAUUCCCUCCUCUGCUAUAUUUCUGGAAAAGCAGUUCACCGACCAACUCUAACUAGAGGAAACUUGGGCUGACACUGAACAUUCACUUCGUGCUUUCCCAAAGCCUAAGGGAGCUUUGUGGAAGGGAGG